UGGGGAAUUUUGGACAAUAGGCGAAAGCCUGAUCCAGCAAUGCCGCGUGAGUGAAGAAGGCCUUCGGGUUGUAAAGCUCUUUUGUCAGGGAAGAAACGGUGAAAGCUAAUAUCUCUUGCUAAUGACGGUACCUGAAGAAUAAGCACCGGCUAACUACGUGCCAGCAGCCGCGGUAAUACGUAGGGUGCGAGCGUUAAUCGGAAUUACUGGGCGUAAAGCGUGCGCAGGCGGUUAUGUAAGACAGAUGUGAAAUCCCCGGGCUCAACCUGGGAACUGCGUUUGUGACUGCAUAACUAGAGUACGGCAGAGGGAGGUGGAAUUCCGCGUGUAGCAGUGAAAUGCGUAGAUAUGUGGAGGAACACCGAUGGCGAAGGCAGCCCCCUGGGUCAAGAUUGACGCUCAUGCACGAAAGCGUGGGGAGCAAACA
This 427-nucleotide ribosomal RNA is filed under the name uncultured bacterium. RNAcentral's name for it is "bacterial SSU rRNA". It matches the Rfam family "Bacterial small subunit ribosomal RNA", at positions 355 to 774 of the family's 1533-position model. The record is from RNAcentral.